This 405-nucleotide ribosomal RNA is filed under the name uncultured bacterium. Its description in RNAcentral is "bacterial SSU rRNA". It matches the Rfam family "Bacterial small subunit ribosomal RNA", at positions 355 to 776 of the family's 1533-position model. The record is from RNAcentral.
UCGGGAAUAUUGGGCAAUGGGCGAAAGCCUGACCCAGCAACGCCGCGUGCACGAUGAAGGCCUUCGGGUCGUAAAGUGCUUUUUGGGAGGAUGAGGAAGGACAGUACUCCCAGAAUAAGUCACGGCUAACUACGUGCCAGCAGCCGCGGUAAAACGUAGGUGACGAGCGUUAUCCGGAAUUACUGGGCGUAAAGCGCGUGCAGGCGGCUCAGCAAGUCGGGCAUGAAAUCUCCUAGCCUAACUGGGAGACGCUGUCCGAUACUGUUGGGCUUGAGGGCAGUAGAGGGUGGUGGAAUUCCGCAUGUAGUGGUGAAAUGCGUAGAUAUGCGGAGGAACACCAGUGGCGAAAGCGGCCACCUGGACUGCACCUGACGCUGAAGCGCGAAAGCUAGGGGAGCAAACGGG